This 677-nucleotide ribosomal RNA is filed under the name uncultured archaeon. Its description in RNAcentral is "bacterial SSU rRNA". It matches the Rfam family "Archaeal small subunit ribosomal RNA", at positions 321 to 999 of the family's 1478-position model. The record is from RNAcentral.
CCCUACGGGGUGCAGCAGGCGAGAAAACUUUGCAAUGUGCGAAAGCACGACAAGGUUAAUCCGAGUGUUUUCUGCUAAAGAAAUCUUUUGUCAGUCCUAAAAACACUGAUGAAUAAGGGGUGGGCAAGUUCUGGUGUCAGCCGCCGCGGUAAAACCAGCACCUCAAGUGGUCAGGAGGAUUAUUGGGCCUAAAGCAUCCGUAGCCUGCUUUGUAAGUUUUCGGUUAAAUCCAUGUGCUCAACAUAUGGGCUGCCGGGAAUACUGCACAGCUAGGGAGUGGGAGAGGUAGACGGUACUCGGUAGGAAGGGGUAAAAUCCUUUGAUCUAUUGAUGACCACCUGUGGCGAAGGCGGUCUACCAGAACACGUCCGACGGUGAGGGAUGAAAGCUGGGGGAGCAAACCGGAUUAGAUACCCGGGUAGUCCCAGCUGUAAACUAUGCAAACUCAGUGAUGCGUUGGCUUGUAGCCAGUGCAGUGCCGCAGGGAAGCCGUUAAGUUUGCCGCCUGGGAAGUACGUACGCAAGUAUGAAACUUAAAGGAAUUGGCGGGGGAGCACCACAAGGGGUGAAGCCUGCGGUUCAAUUGGAGUCAACGCCAGAAAUCUUACCCGGAGAGACAGCAGAAUGAAGGUCAAGCUGAAGACUUUACCAGACAAGCUGAGAAGAAGUGCAUGGCC